RNAcentral lists this ribosomal RNA (252 nucleotides) under uncultured prokaryote. RNAcentral describes it as "partial 16S rRNA". It matches the Rfam family "Archaeal small subunit ribosomal RNA", at positions 475 to 726 of the family's 1478-position model. The record is from RNAcentral.
ACCGGCGGCUCGAGUGGUGGCCACUAUUACUGGGCUUAAAGCGUUCGUAGCUGGCUUGUUAAGUCUCUGGGGAAAUCUUCCGGCUCAACCGGGAGGCGUCGCAGGGAUACUGGCAGGCUAGGGACCGGAAGAGGUGAGAGGUACUCCAGGGGUAGGAGUGAAAUCCUGAAAUACUUGGGGGAACACCUGUGGCGAAGGCGUCUCACCAGACCGGCUCCGACACUGAGGAGCGAAAGCUGGGGGAGCAAACCG